CGCCAGACUCCUACGGGAGGCAGCAGUGGGGGAUAUUGCACAAUGGGGGAAACCCUGAUGCAGCGACGCCGCGUGAGUGAAGAAGUAUUUCGGUAUGUAAAGCUCUAUCAGCAGGGAAGAAGAUGACAGUACCUGAGUAAGAAGCCCCGGCUAACUACGUGCCAGCAGCCGCGGUAAUACGUAGGGGGCAAGCGUUAUCCCGAUUUACUGGGUGUAAAGGGAGCGUAGACGGCAGUGCAAGUCCGGAGUGAAAGCCCGGGGCUCAACCCUGGGACUGCUCUGGAAACUGUAAAGCUGGAGUGCGGGAGGGGCAGGCGGAAUUCCUGGUGUAGCGGUGAAAUGCGUAGAUAUCAGGAGGAACACCGGCGGCGAAGGCGGCCUGCUGGACCGUAACUGACGUUGAGGCUCGAAAGCGUGGGGAGCAAACAGGAUUAGAUACCCGCGUA
Molecule: ribosomal RNA, 446 nt
Filed under: uncultured bacterium
Lineage: Bacteria
Description: bacterial SSU rRNA
Rfam family: Bacterial small subunit ribosomal RNA
Source: RNAcentral